UCUAACGUGGCAGAUAAGUGCAUUGGAUUUAAGCUCCAUAAAUAAAGUUUUCUAAACUUUCAUUAGAA
Molecule: transfer RNA, 68 nt
Filed under: Microcerotermes serrula
Lineage: Eukaryota; Metazoa; Arthropoda; Insecta; Blattodea; Termitidae
Also listed under: 12 other names
Description: tRNA-Leu
Source: RNAcentral